RNAcentral lists this unclassified non-coding RNA (219 nucleotides) under uncultured Nocardioidaceae bacterium. Its description in RNAcentral is "contains 16S-23S intergenic spacer region". Lineage: Bacteria; Bacillati; Actinomycetota; Actinomycetes; Propionibacteriales; Nocardioidaceae. The record is from RNAcentral.
UCCGAGUUGACCCCGGCAGUCUCCUAUGAGUUCCCGGCAUAACCCGCUGGCAACAUAGGACGAGGGUUGCGCUCGUUGCGGGACUUAACCCAACAUCUCACGACACGAGCUGACGACAGCCAUGCACCACCUAUGCAGAGCCCUUACGGACCCCCCAUCUCUGGAGGAUUACCCUGCAUGUCAAACCCAGGUAAGGUGGGGAUGACGUGUAACCGAAUC